AGUGCACGCCAGGCAGGCUGGCUUCCGGAGCAUCCGCGUAAUCUGGCCCCCACUCGCCCGUGGGCGGAAGGCAGGCCGCAAGAGCACGUGCAC
RNAcentral lists this non-coding RNA (93 nucleotides) under Alexandrium tamarense. Lineage: Eukaryota; Dinophyceae; Gonyaulacales; Pyrocystaceae. The record is from RNAcentral.